GAUCAUGGCUCAGAUUGAACGCUGGCGGCAGGCUUAACACAUGCAAGUCGAACGGUAACAUAAAGAAGCUUGCUUCUUUGAUGACGAGUGGCGGACGGGUGAGUAAUGCUUGGGAAUCUAGCUUAUGGAGGGGGGAUAACUACGGGAAACUGUAGCUAAUACCGCGUAGUAUCGGAAGAUGAAAGUGUGGGACCUUCGGGCCACAUGCCAUAGGAUGAGCCCAAGUGGGAUUAGGUAGUUGG
This 242-nucleotide ribosomal RNA is filed under the name uncultured bacterium. RNAcentral describes it as "partial 16S ribosomal RNA". It matches the Rfam family "Bacterial small subunit ribosomal RNA", at positions 15 to 252 of the family's 1533-position model. The record is from RNAcentral.